CCUGGUAACCAGCCUCUCCCCUCCCUCGCCCAUAAGGAGCAAGCGGCACAAAUCGGGCUCGAUGGAGGAAGACGUGGACACGAGCCCUGGCGGCGAUUACUACACUUCGCCCAGCUCGCCCACGAGUAGCAGCCGCAACUGGACGGAGGACAUGGAAGGAGGCAUCUCGUCCCCGGUGAAGAAGACAGAGAUGGACAAGUCACCAUUCAACAGCCCGUCCCCCCAGGACUCUCCCCGCCUCUCCAGCUUCACCCAGCACCACCGGCCUGUCAUCGCCGUGCACAGCGGGAUUGCCCGGAGCCCACACCCGUCCUCCGCUCUGCAUUUCCCUACGACGUCCAUCCUACCCCAGACGGCCUCCACCUACUUCCCCCACACGGCCAUCCGCUACCCACCUCAUCUCAACCCCCAGGACCCGCUCAAAGAUCUUGUCUCACUGGCCUGCGACCCAGCCAGCCAGCAACCUGGACCGUCCUGGUAUCUGGGAUAGCAAAGGUCUUCUUCCCUCGCCCCUUCUCCAUCGUCCCAGGAAUCCCAGGGGGCAGCACAGCCGCCCCCGGCCCACGUUUUCGGUGGAAAAUUAGAGUGAACAAGAACACCCCUGCCGACUCCCAGCCCGGCGGAAAAGACAAAACACAUAGACGCACACACGCAGGAGGAAAAGAAAAAACAAAGGAAAAAGAAGAAAAAGAAAAAAUAAAAACCCACCCAAGCAAGAAGACAAAAGGUAAAGACGCAACGUUUCCAACUCUCGGGACGCCAAGGCCGCAGGACUGGAGGGCCAGGCCCCGCCACCCCCACUGGAGACCCGGGACAGGGCGUCUUCCUAAAUUAAUUCAUCUCCUCUCCGCCUGCUGCUCCGGAAGGACAGACGCCGGCCACCCGCCCGCGCCCCGCGCCCUGGCUCUGUCCGGAGACCAGGUGAGCACAGCCUGGAGCCUGUGCCCAGGGCCGACAGGCGCGACACCCAGCAA
Molecule: small RNA, 974 nt
Filed under: Pongo abelii (Sumatran orangutan)
Lineage: Eukaryota; Metazoa; Chordata; Mammalia; Primates; Hominidae
Description: retained intron
Source: RNAcentral